Molecule: unclassified non-coding RNA, 380 nt
Filed under: uncultured bacterium
Lineage: Bacteria
Description: contains 16S-23S intergenic spacer region
Source: RNAcentral
UCCGAGUUGUCCCCGGCAGUCUCCUUAGAGUCCCCGCCAUUACGCGCUGGCAACUAAGGACAGGGGUUGCGCUCGUUGCGGUACUUAACCCAACAUCUCACGACACGAGCUGACGACAGCCAUGCAGCACCUGUGCAUGGACUCCGAAGAGAGGCCGGCGUUUCUGCCGGCUGUCCCAUGCAUGUCAAGCCUAGGUAAGGUUCUUCGCGUUGCGUCGAAUUAAACCACAUGCUCCACCGCUUGUGCGGGCCCCCGUCGAUUCCUUUGAGUUUUAACCUUGCGGCCGUAAUCCCCAGGCGGGGAACUUAAUGCGUUAGCUGCGGCACGGGAGGGGUCAAUACCCCCCACACCUAGUUCCCAUCGUUUACGGCGUGGACUAC